GCCAGAGAGACAGCAUGAUGGUUUGAGCAUUGGACUAUGACUCUGGAGACCAGGGUUCAAAUCCCUGCUCAGCCG
Non-coding RNA from Phrynosoma platyrhinos (Desert horned lizard), 75 nucleotides. NCBI's taxonomy places the organism in Eukaryota, Metazoa, Chordata, Lepidosauria, Squamata, Phrynosomatidae. The record is from the annotation of a GenBank genome assembly.